Daktulosphaira vitifoliae (grape phylloxera) is the source of this 651-nucleotide long non-coding RNA. RefSeq lists it as uncharacterized. The transcript is spliced from 3 exons. Lineage: Eukaryota; Metazoa; Arthropoda; Insecta; Hemiptera; Phylloxeridae. The record is from RefSeq and is a predicted model, not a curated record.
UUAGACAACAAUGGCUUCAUAAUAAUAUCCGAACAGUCGCAUCACACAGGACAAUUUUUCGGUCAAACUGAUGGUAGAAUCAUGGAUUCACUCGUAUAUGACGGAAUUUACAAAAAGAUUACAGUGGUCGAUAACCAAGGUUCAUGUCAGAAUGGAAUUGAACUGGACACCGACUCAGCAAUAGGACUUCGACCUUUGAAACCUAUUACAUGGUUUAUAAAAUGGUUUUUGGGACGUUUGACUUGAAUGGCUAUUGAAACUGAUUUGUAUCAUGUAUUGUUUCCAAAAUGGAUUUAUGGACAAGCCGAUGAACUAGCAUACGCCGAUUAUGAUAUAGAUCCAAUUGAUGGUUCAUUUCCGGAAGACAAGUUACCUGUUGACCAAAAUGAAAAACCAAUAUUAAGGGAUGAAAAGCCAAAUGCUGGUUCAAAUAAUGACUAUGGAGAUUUGCCUCCACAUCCCCCUAAUACACGUUCCUAAUAUAAAGAACAACGAUUAUUUUAAUCCAACCCACAAUCAUACUCUUCCGGAAGUCACGAGAACAUGCAAAAAAACGGUUGAUCUUUUUGUUUUAUAACCAAGUAGGCUGAUUAUGAGUGGGUCGUUCAUCUCACUUAAAGGGAAAUUAACGAAUUGUCAUGCAACUGGAUG